AUACGGAGGAUCCGAGCGUUAUCCGGAUUUAUUGGGUUUAAAGGGUGCGCAGGCGGCCAUUUAAGUCAGCGGUUAAAUCGUGGGGCUCAACCCCAUUCUGCCGUUGAUACUGGGUGGCUUGAUUGCGGUCGAGGUUGGCGGAAUUCGUUGUGUAGCGGUGAAAUGCAUAGAUAUGACGAAGAACACCGAUUGCGUAGGCAGCUGACCAGACCGCAAAUGACGCUCAUGCACGAAAGUGCGGGGAUCGAACAGGAUUAGAUACCCUGGUAGUCCGCACAGUAAACGAUGAAUACUUGUUUUCGGCGAUAUAAUGUCGGAGGCAAAGCGAAAGAGAUAAGUAUUCCACCUGGGGAGUACGCCGGCAACGGUGAAACUCAAAUGAAUUGACGGG
This 391-nucleotide ribosomal RNA is filed under the name uncultured bacterium. RNAcentral describes it as "partial 16S ribosomal RNA". It matches the Rfam family "Bacterial small subunit ribosomal RNA", at positions 523 to 917 of the family's 1533-position model. The record is from RNAcentral.